CCUACGGGUGGCAGCAGUGGGGAAUAUUGCACAAUGGGGGAAACCCUGAUGCAGCGACGCCGCGUGAGUGAAGAAGUAUCUCGGUACGUAAAGCUCUAUCAGCAGGGAAGAAAAUGACGGUACCUGACUAAGAAGCCCCGGCUAACUACGUGCCAGCAGCCGCGGUAAUACGUAGGGGGCAAGCGUUAUCCGGAUUUACUGGGUGUAAAGGGAGCGUAGACGGCAGCACAAGUCUGGAGUGAGAUCCCGGGGCUUAACCCCGGAACUGCUUUGGAAACUGUGCGGCUGGAGUGUAGGUGGGGUAGGCGGAAUGCCUGGUGUAGCGGUGAAAUGCGUAGAGAUUAUACAGAACACCGAUGGCGAAGGCGGCUUAC
This 374-nucleotide ribosomal RNA is filed under the name uncultured bacterium. RNAcentral describes it as "partial 16S ribosomal RNA". It matches the Rfam family "Bacterial small subunit ribosomal RNA", at positions 338 to 729 of the family's 1533-position model. The record is from RNAcentral.